RNAcentral lists this unclassified non-coding RNA (372 nucleotides) under soil metagenome. Its description in RNAcentral is "partial contains 5.8S ribosomal RNA, internal transcribed spacer 2, and large subunit ribosomal RNA". The stretch from base 1 to 120 matches the Rfam family "5.8S ribosomal RNA", at positions 35 to 154 of the family's 154-position model. The record is from RNAcentral.
GAUGAAGAACGCAGCGAAAUGCGAUAAGUAAUGUGAAUUGCAGAAUUCAGUGAAUCAUCGAAUCUUUGAACGCACAUUGCGCCCCUUGGUAUUCCGAGGGGCAUGCCUGUUCGAGCGUCAUUAUCACCCCUCAAGCCCUCGGCUUGGUGUUGGACGGUUUGGUGGAGGCCCCCUCGGGGGUUCCUGCCCCUCCCAAAGACAAUGACGGCGGCCUCGUUGGACCCCCGGUACACUGAGUUCUUCACGGGACACGUAUCGGACACAUGGGUUUACGGGACACGGUCUGCCUCCCCUCAGGGAGAAUCUUUCUAAGGUUGACCUCGGAUCAGGUAGGGAUACCCGCUGAACUUAAGCAUAUCAAUAAGCGGAGGA